AUAUUGGACAAUGGGCGCAAGCCUGAUCCAGCCAUGCCGCGUGAGUGAUGAAGGCCUUCGGGUUGUAAAGCUCUUUUGGCGGGGACGAUGAUGACGGUACCCGCAGAGUAAGCCCCGGCAAACUUCGUGCCAGCAGCCGCGGUAAGACGAAGGGGGCAAGCGUUGUUCGGAAUUACUGGGCGUAAAGGGCGCGUAGGCGGCUCUUUUAGUCAGGCGUGAAAGCCCUGGGCUCAACCUGGGAAUUGCGCUUGAUACUGGAGGGCUAGAGAGUGGGAGAGGUUGGUGGAAUUCCCAGUGUAGAGGUGAAAUUCGUAGAUAUUGGGAAGAACACCGGUGGCGAAGGCGGCCAACUGGACCAUUUCUGACGCUGAGGCGCGAAGGCGUGGGGAGCAAAC
Molecule: ribosomal RNA, 395 nt
Filed under: uncultured bacterium
Lineage: Bacteria
Description: bacterial SSU rRNA
Rfam family: Bacterial small subunit ribosomal RNA
Source: RNAcentral